ACCCCUAAACAAUUAAAAAAAAAAAAAAAAAAAAGAUAUUUGCAGUUUCCAGCUUUCCUCUAUUUUUCAACCAGCAGUAACGGUUUACAGGCUGAACGUCCCAAGCACUGAACUUUACCAAUUCCAUUUGAAGAGAAAUGGCACUGUUCACUUUCAUAUGGCGCACGGUCACAGGAAGCUCCUCCGUACGCUGCUUCGUAACCCGGAUCAUAUUUUUCUUCUUUGACAGCCAUCUUUUUAGAAUCCUCUUGUGCAAGUUGCAAGUCAAAUGUUUACUCCACCUCCUGCACCUCUGUGUUUGGUGCGAUACCUUUCAGCUGAUCCCUUAAGUCUUUCAGCUUUAUGUAAUAAUGAACUUUAUCUUGCGGGUGAGGAAACUGAGCACAUCUUGCACUGGAUGAUGGCAUAACGUAGCAGAGCUUGUCCCAGGGCAGCUGUUCCCCGCUGAUCCACACAGACAUGACGGGAGUCGCGACGUGUUAUUCACAGCGGCUGGCAGCCAGGCAAGAGACCCUCUCAGCUACCCGAGAACGCGGUCUUUGCCAUCAUCUCAGGAAACCGCUCUGUGAAG
Molecule: long non-coding RNA, 571 nt
Filed under: Columba livia (rock pigeon)
Lineage: Eukaryota; Metazoa; Chordata; Aves; Columbiformes; Columbidae
Description: partial uncharacterized LOC102090589
Source: RNAcentral